GUAGGUAAGCACGUCAUUGUACUGCGUAUCACGUGGCAUCGUGGAUAGAGAACCUGUAGGUAAGCACGUCAUUGUACUGCGUAUCACGUGGCAUCGUGGAUAGAGAACCUGUAGGUAAGCACGUCAUUGUACUGCGUAUCACGUGGCAUCGUGGAUAGAGAACCUGUAGGUAAGCACGUCAUUGUACUGCGUAUCACGUGGCAUCGUGGAUAGAGAACCUGUAGGUAAGCACGUCAUUGUACUGCGUAUCACGUGGCAUCGUGGAUAGAGAACCUGUAGGUAAGCACGUCAUUGUACUGCGUAUCACGUGGCAUCGUGGAUAGAGAACCUGUAGGUAAGCACGUCAUUGUACUGCGUAUCACGUGGCAUCGUGGAUAGAGAACCUGUAGGUAAGCACGUCAUUGUACUGCGUAUCACGUGGCAUCGUGGAUAGAGAACCUGUAGGUAAGCACGUCAUUGUACUGCGUAUCACGUGGCAUCGUGGAUAGAGAACCUGUAGGUAAGCACGUCAUUGUACUGCGUAUCACGUGGCAUCGUGGAUAGAGAACCUGUAGGUAAGCACGUCAUUGUACUGCGUAUCACGUGGCAUCGUGGAUAGAGAACCUGUAGGUAAGCACGUCAUUGUACUGCGUACCAUGUGUGUCCUGUGCCUUCAGAAAGUAUUCACACCCCUUGACUUGUUCCACAUUGUUGUUGCUAUAACCUGAAUUGAAAAUGUAUUAAAUUGAGAUUGUGUCACUGGCCUACACACAAUACCCCAUAAUAUCAACGUGGAAAUAUGUUUUAUUUUAUUUUCCGAACUAAUAACUGAAAAGCUGAAAUGUCUUCGGUCACUAAGUAUUCAACCCCGUUGUUACGACGAGCCUGAAUAAGUUCAGGAGUAACAAGUCACAUGAUAAGUUGCAUAGACUCAUUCUGUGUGAAAUAGUGUCUAACAUGACUUUUUAAUGACUCAUCUCUGUACUCCUCACAUACAGAUCCUUCAACAGAGCAGUGAAUUUCAAACACAGAUUCAACCAAAGACCUGGGAGGUUUUUCAACGCCUCGCAAAGAAGGGCACCUAUUGGUAGAUGGGUAAAAAUAGAAAAAGCACACAUUGAAUAUCCCUUUGAACAUGGUGAAGUUAUUGAUUACACUUUGGAUGGUGUAUCAAUACACUCAGUCACUACAAAGAUACAGGCGUCCUUCCUUACUCAGAAACCGCUCUGGGAUUUCACCACGAGGCCAAUGGGGACGUUAAAACAGUCAGAGUUUAAUGGCUGUGAUAGGAGAAGACUGAGGAUGGAUCAACAGUAGUUUCUCCACAAUACUAACCUAAUUCACAGAGUUAAAAGGAAGCUGUACAGAACAAAACAAAUAUUCCAAAACAUGCAUCCUGUUUGCAACAAGGCACUAAAGAAAUACUGCAAGAAAUGUGUCAAAGCAAAUCAUUUGUCCUGAAUAUGUUUUAUUUUCAAGCAUAGUAGUAGCUGCAUCAUGUUAUGGUUACGCUUGUAAUCGUUAAGGACUGGGGAGUUAGAGGAUCAAAAAUGAACCUAAUGGAUCUACAUACAGAGGAAACCCUGGUUCAGUCUGCUUUCCACCAGACACUGGCUGAUUAAUUACCUUUCAGCAGGACAAUAACCCAAAACACAAGGCCAAAUCUACACUGGACCUGUUUACCAAGAAGACAGUGAAUGUUCCGGAGUGUCCGAGUUACAGUUCUGACUUUAAUCUGCUUGAAAAUCUGUGGCAAGACUUGAAACAGGUUGUCAAGCAACGAUCAACAACCAAUUUGACAGAGCUUGAAGAAUUUUGAACAAAAUAAUGGGCAAAUAUUGUACAAUCCAGAUGUGUACAGCUCUUAGAGAAUUACCCAGAAAGACUCACAGCUUUAACCACUGCCAAAGGUGAUUCUAACAUGUAUUGACUCAGGGGUGUGAAUACUUACGUUAAUGAGGUAUUUCUGCAUUUAAUUAAUACAUUUGCAAUAAUGUUUUUAAAAAACACAUUUUUGCUUUUUUCAUCAUUGGUAAUUGUGUAUGUAGAUGGGUGAGAAAUACAUAUAUUUAAUCCAGACUGUAACAACAAGAUGUGGAAUAAGUCAAGAGGUAUGACUACUUUCUGAAGGUACUGGACGACAAAUAAACUCGAUUUAUGACGGAUGGGAAUACAGCAUAUGUAGUCAAACACACAAAACAUUUCAUAAGGUGUUAGAGGAGUCCGGAAGAUCGUUCAUCUUCUCCUAAAUGUAUGGACCUGGACUGAUCUUAAGCCGGUUGGAUUAUUCCAGGGUGAAGAAGUAUUUUAUUAUUUUAUGGGUGAAGUCCAUCUGAAGAGAAGGGAUUCCUACCACUACCUCACUAUCCAACAAAGGUGACAGAAUUACAGAGAACAUGAAGCAACUCUUGGAGGACAAUGGAAUUACAUUAUAAAACGUUUAUUUAUUCUCAGAAGGCUCCAAAAAAAAAAAUCAGAAACGGGUUGGUUCUACUUUUAACAAUGAGGAUGCUUUUGUGGUGCAUUUGAUGUCAGGCUGUGAGAUCACACAGACAGAUGAUGGGCCUUUACAGGCUGCAUCGUGUUCCCCAGAACAGAACAGAGCUCAGUCUGGUCCCAAUGAUCGUCUCCCCAUAACCCUGACUACAUGAUUAAAGGACAGCAGGAGACUUCAAACAGCUAGACAGGCAUCAAGUAAGUACAAUACAAAGUGACAGAGAUUAUACUGAACUUUCUAAUUCUGAAUGUAAAUUGCCAUCCAUGUUAGAUUAAGCUGAUUUCAUAAAUCAUGUGUGGACUGUCCCAUCAUAUUACAUCACAGUGACAGUCAGGCAAUUUAAGUAGCCUCUAAUUCUUGAAGUGUACUCCCAAGUGUACUCCCAAGUGUACUCAUUACUUUGGCUUGUGUUACAGGUCCAUAGAAAUAGAAUCCAUAGAACGGACUUGGCUGCCAUUCCUCCCAUUAUUUCAACCAUUGACUUGAAUAGGGAAGCCCGUUCUACAGGUUCUAUGGUCAGAUUACUGCUAA
Oncorhynchus keta (chum salmon) is the source of this 3007-nucleotide long non-coding RNA. RefSeq lists it as uncharacterized. The record is from RefSeq and is a predicted model, not a curated record. NCBI's taxonomy places the organism in Eukaryota, Metazoa, Chordata, Actinopteri, Salmoniformes, Salmonidae. The transcript is spliced from 3 exons.